UACGUAGGGACCAAGCGUUGUUCGGAUUUACUGGGCGUAAAGGGCGCGUAGGCGGCGCGGUAAGUCACUUGUGAAAUCUCUGAGCUUAACUCAGAACGGCCAAGUGAUACUGCAGUGCUAGAGUGUGGAAGGGGCAAUCGGAAUUCCAGGUGUAGCGGUGAAAUGCGUAGAUAUCUGGAGGAAUACCGGUGGCGAAGGCGGCAUCCUGGACCGGCAUUGACGCUGAUGAGCGAAAGCUAGGGGAGCAAACGGG
This 253-nucleotide ribosomal RNA is filed under the name uncultured bacterium. RNAcentral describes it as "partial 16S ribosomal RNA". It matches the Rfam family "Bacterial small subunit ribosomal RNA", at positions 524 to 776 of the family's 1533-position model. The record is from RNAcentral.